RNAcentral lists this ribosomal RNA (403 nucleotides) under uncultured bacterium. RNAcentral's name for it is "partial 16S ribosomal RNA". It matches the Rfam family "Bacterial small subunit ribosomal RNA", at positions 30 to 526 of the family's 1533-position model. The record is from RNAcentral.
AUUGAACGCUGGCGGCAGGCCUAACACAUGCAAGUCGAGCGAGCGGCGGACGGGUGAGUAAUGUAUGGGGACUGCCCGAUAGAGGGGGAUAACUACUGGAAACGGUGGCUAAUACCGCAUACUAUCGGAUAACCCAUAUGGGAUUAGCUAGUAGGUGGGGUAAAGGCUCACCUAGGCGACGAUCUCUAGCUGGUCUGAGAGGAUGAUCAGCCACACUGGGACUGAGACAAGGCCCAGACUCCGACGGAGGCAGCAGUGGGGAAUUUUGGACAAUGGGCGCCAGCCGGAUGCAGCCAUGCCGGGGGUAUGAAGAAUGCCUUAAGGUUGUAAAGUACGUUCAGCGGGGAGGCGUUACCCGCAGAAGAAGCACCGGCCAACUCCGUGCCAGGAGCCGCCGUAAUAU